Molecule: ribosomal RNA, 431 nt
Filed under: uncultured bacterium
Lineage: Bacteria
Description: partial 16S ribosomal RNA
Rfam family: Bacterial small subunit ribosomal RNA
Source: RNAcentral
AACGAACGCUGGCGGCAGGCUUAACACAUGCAAGUCGAGCGCCCCGCAAGGGGAGCGGCAGACGGGUGAGUAACGCGUGGGAACGUACCCUUAUCUUCGGGAUAGCCCCGGGAAACUGGAAUUAAUACCGAAUGUGCCCUUUGGGGGAAAGAUUUAUCGGAUAAGGAUCGGCCCGCGUUGGAUUAGCUAGUUGGUGGGGUAAAGGCCUACCAAGGCGACGAUCCAUAGCUGGUCUGAGAGGAUGAUCAGCCACAUUGGGACUGAGACACGGCCCAAACUCCUACGGGAGGCAGCAGUGGGGAAUAUUGGACAAUGGGCGCAAGCCUGAUCCAGCCAUGCCGCGUGAGUGAUGAAGGCCUUAGGGUUGUAAAGCUCUUUCACCGGAGAAGAUAAUGACGGUAUCCGGAGAAGAAGCCCCGGCUAACUUCGUG